GUUCUCUCCUCCCUACGGUGUCAGUUGGCUACUUUAGCCUUCACCACCCAGCGCAUGCUGCUUGGUAAUCACUGAGUUGGCUGGACUGUCUUCUCUGGGCUGAAGUCAACAGGGAGCAGGACUGUAUACUCUUGCAUUUGAGGAUUUAACCUACUGCAAUGUGGUCAUGAUGGCUGAGGAUAGAGGUGGAACAGGUGCCAUGCUGCUAUCACAAGACGGAGACCACAUACUCUAAGAAUGCUGAACAGAAAAAUAAAAGGAGUCUGAGUCCCUGAUGACAUAAUAGAGCUACCAUAACCACCAUGGAUAUUGUCUAGGUGCUUUGUAAUAUAAAAAGAGUAAACCCUCUAAUUGGUUCAACC
Molecule: long non-coding RNA, 362 nt
Filed under: Homo sapiens (human)
Lineage: Eukaryota; Metazoa; Chordata; Mammalia; Primates; Hominidae
Description: non-protein coding lnc-ARHGAP32-2:2
Source: RNAcentral